Molecule: non-coding RNA, 47 nt
Filed under: unclassified sequences
Description: SAM-SAH-Weickhmann-2018 RNA
Rfam family: SAM/SAH riboswitch aptamer
Source: RNAcentral
CCCGGCACAACGGCUUCCUGACGUGGCGGGCUCACCCCAAUGGAGCA